GUAGGGCGGGACACGUGGUAUCCUGUCUGAAUAUGGGGGGACCAUCCUCCAAGGCUAAAUACUCCUGACUGACCGAUAGUGAACCAGUACCGUGAGGGAAAGGCGAAAAGAACCCCGGCGAGGGGAGUGAAAAAGAACCUGAAACCGUGUACGUACAAGCAGUGGGAGCACAGAGCAAUCUGUGUGACUGCGUACCUUUUGUAUAAUGGGUCAGCGACUUAUAUUCUGUAGCAAGGUUAACCGAAUAGGGGAGCCGAAGGGAAACCGAGUCUUAACUGGGCGUUAAGUUGCAGGGUAUAGACCCGAAACCCGGUGAUCUAGCCAUGGGCAGGUUGAAGGUUGGGUAACACUAACUGGAGGACCGAACCGACUAAUGUUGAAAAAUUAGCGGAUGACUUGUGGCUGGGGGUGAAAGGCCAAUCAAACCGGGAGAUAGCUGGUUCUCCCCGAAAGCUAUUUAGGUAGCGCCUCGUGAAUUCAUCUCCGGGGGUAGAGCACUGUUUCGGCAAGGGGGUCAUCCCGACUUACCAACCCGAUGCAAACUGCGAAUACCGGAGAAUGUUAUCACGGGAGACACACGGCGGGUGCUAACGUCCGUCGUGAAGAGGGAAACAACCCAGACCGCCAGCUAAGGUCCCAAAGUCAUGGUUAAGUGGGAAACGAUGUGGGAAGGCCCAGACAGCCAGGAUGUUGGCUUAGAAGCAGCCAUCAUUUAAAGAAAGCGUAAUAGCUCACUGGUCGAGUCGGCCUGCGCGGAAGAUGUAACGGGGCUAAACCAUGCACCGAAGCUGCGGCAGCGACGCUUAUGCGUUGUUGGGUAGGGGAGCGUUCUGUAAGCCUGCGAAGGUGUGCUGUGAGGCAUGCUGGAGGUAUCAGAAGUGCGAAUGCUGACAUAAGUAACGAUAAAGCGGGUGAAAAGCCCGCUCGCCGGAAGACCAAGGGUUCCUGUCCAACGUUAAUCGGGGCAGGGUGAGUCGACCCCUAAGGCGAGGCCGAAAGGCGUAGUCGAUGGGAAACAGGUUAAUAUUCCUGUACUUGGUGUUACUGCGAAGGGGGGACGGAGAAGGCUAUGUUGGCCGGGCGACGGUAGUCCCGGUUUAAGCGUGUAGGCUGGUUUUCCAGGCAAAUCCGGAAAAUCAAGGCUGAGGCGUGAUGACGAGGCACUACGGUGCUGAAGCAACAAAUGCCCUGCUUCCAGGAAAAGCCUCUAAGCAUCAGGUAACAUCAAAUCGUACCCCAAACCGACACAGGUGGUCAGGUAGAGAAUACCAAGGCGCUUGAGAGAACUCGGGUGAAGGAACUAGGCAAAAUGGUGCCGUAACUUCGGGAGAAGGCACGCUGAUAUGUAGGUGAAGCGACUUGCUCGUGGAGCUGAAAUCAGUCGAAGAUACCAGCUGGCUGCAACUGUUUAUUAAAAACACAGCACUGUGCAAACACGAAAGUGGACGUAUACGGUGUGACGCCUGCCCGGUGCCGGAAGGUUAAUUGAUGGGGUCAGCGCAAGCGAAGCUCUUGAUCGAAGCCCCGGUAAACGGCGGCCGUAACUAUAACGGUCCUAAGGUAGCGAAAUUCCUUGUCGGGUAAGUUCCGACCUGCACGAAUGGCGUAAUGAUGGCCAGGCUGUCUCCACCCGAGACUCAGUGAAAUUGAACUCGCUGUGAAGAUGCAGUGUACCCGCGGCAAGACGGAAAGACCCCGUGAACCUUUACUAUAGCUUGACACUGAACAUUGAGCCUUGAUGUGUAGGAUAGGUGGGAGGCUUUGAAGUGUGGACGCCAGUCUGCAUGGAGCCGACCUUGAAAUACCACCCUUUAAUGUUUGAUGUUCUAACGUGGACCCGUAAUCCGGGUUGCGGACAGUGUCUGGUGGGUAGUUUGACUGGGGCGGUCUCCUCCUAAAGAGUAACGGAGGAGCACGAAGGUUGGCUAAUCCUGGUCGGACAUCAGGAGGUUAGUGCAAUGGCAUAAGCCAGCUUGACUGCGAGCGUGACGGCGCGAGCAGGUGCGAAAGCAGGUCAUAGUGAUCCGGUGGUUCUGAAUGGAAGGGCCAUCGCUCAACGGAUAAAAGGUACUCCGGGGAUAACAGGCUGAUACCGCCCAAGAGUUCAUAUCGACGGCGGUGUUUGGCACCUCGAUGUCGGCUCAUCACAUCCUGGGGCUGAAGUAGGUCCCAAGGGUAUGGCUGUUCGCCAUUUAAAGUGGUACGCGAGCUGGGUUUAGAACGUCGUGAGACAGUUCGGUCCCUAUCUGCCGUGGGCGCUGGAGAACUGAGGGGGGCUGCUCCUAGUACGAGAGGACCGGAGUGGACGCAUCACUGGUGUUCGGGUUGUCAUGCCAAUGGCACUGCCCGGUAGCUAAAUGCGGAAGAGAUAAGUGCUGAAAGCAUCUAAGCACGAAACUUGCCCCGAGAUGAGUUCUCCCUGACUCCUUGAGAGUCCUGAAGGAACGUUGAAGACGACGACGUUGAUAGGCCGGGUGUGUAAGCGCAGCGAUGCGUUGAGCUAACCGGUACUAAUGAACCGUGAGG
This 2526-nucleotide ribosomal RNA is filed under the name Escherichia coli. Its description in RNAcentral is "partial 23S ribosomal RNA". It matches the Rfam family "Bacterial large subunit ribosomal RNA", at positions 412 to 2915 of the family's 2925-position model. The record is from RNAcentral. Lineage: Bacteria; Pseudomonadati; Pseudomonadota; Gammaproteobacteria; Enterobacterales; Enterobacteriaceae.